UUUCCCCUACGGUGUUUGUGAUCAACGGAGGAAACUUAAACCAACAAAGAAGAAAAAGGAAGCUGUCCCUUGCCGUGGCCGCCAGGCCCCCAGUUGCGGGGAAGGCUCAAGCGGUAAUAUGGCAUCCACCUGGUUAUCCAGGUUCAAGUUGACUCUUUGACACGGCAGAAUGUGGGGGAAAC
Molecule: non-coding RNA, 182 nt
Filed under: Deltaproteobacteria bacterium
Lineage: Bacteria; Pseudomonadati; Myxococcota; Myxococcia
Description: 6S RNA
Rfam family: 6S / SsrS RNA
About the family: E. coli 6S RNA was the first non coding RNA to be sequenced, but its function was unknown until recently. It consists of 184 nucleotides that fold into an extended hairpin structure with a large single-stranded internal bulge.
Source: RNAcentral